GAGUUUGAUCCUGGCUCAGGAUGAACGCUGGCGGCGUGCCUAAUACAUGCAAGUCGAACGAGGUUUCGACGAGUGAACGAAGUGCUUGCACUGAAUGAUCUUGUUGAGACUGAGUGGCGGACGGGUGAGUAACACGUGGGUAACCUGCCCUUAAGUGGGGGAUAACAUUUGGAAACAGAUGCUAAUACCGCAUAAACUCAAAGAUCACAGGGUCUUUGGUUGAAAGAUGGCGUAAGCUAUCGCUUUUGGAUGGACCCGCGGCGUAUUAGCUAGUUGGUAAGGUAAAGGCCUACCAAGGCAAUGAUACGUAGCCGACCUGAGAGGGUGAUCGGCCACAUUGGGACUGAGACACGGCCCAAACUCCUACGGGAGGCAGCAGUAGGGAAUCUUCCACAAUGGACGCAAGUCUGAUGGAGCAACGCCGCGUGAGUGAAGAAGGCUUUCGGGUCGUAAAACUCUGUUGUUGGAGAAGAAUGGUCGGCAGAGUAACUGUUGUCGGCGUGACGGUAUCCAACCAGAAAGCCACAGCUAACUACGUGCCAGCAGCCGCGGUAAUACGUAGGUGGCAAGCGUUAUCCGGAUUUAUUGGGCGUAAAGCGAGCGCAGGCGGUUUCUUAAGUCUGAUGUGAAAGCCUUCGGCUUAACCGAAGAAGUGCAUCGGAAACUGGGAAACUUGAGUGCAGAAGAGGACAGUGGAACUCCAUGUGUAGCGGUGAAAUGCGUAGA
This 726-nucleotide ribosomal RNA is filed under the name uncultured bacterium. Its description in RNAcentral is "bacterial SSU rRNA". It matches the Rfam family "Bacterial small subunit ribosomal RNA", at positions 9 to 694 of the family's 1533-position model. The record is from RNAcentral.